RNAcentral lists this ribosomal RNA (597 nucleotides) under uncultured Gemmatimonadota bacterium. Its description in RNAcentral is "SSU rRNA". It matches the Rfam family "Bacterial small subunit ribosomal RNA", at positions 319 to 915 of the family's 1533-position model. Lineage: Bacteria; Pseudomonadati; Gemmatimonadota. The record is from RNAcentral.
UUGAGAUACGGCCCAGACUCCUACGGGAGGCAGCAGUGGGGAAUCUUGCGCAAUGGCCUAACGGCUGACGCAGCGACGCCGCGUGUGGGAUGAAGCUCUUCGGAGUGUAAACCACUGUUGCCCGGGACGAAUAGCUCGAUUAAUCGAGCCUGACGGUACCGGGUGAGGAAGCACCGGCUAACUCCGUGCCAGCAGCCGCGGUAAUACGGGGGGUGCGAGCGUUGUCCGGAAUCACUGGGCGUAAAGGGCGCGUAGGUGGUUUGAUAAGGGUGUGGUGAAAGUCCGGGGCUCAACCCCGGAUCUGCCGUGCCGACUGUCAAACUCGAGGGCUGUAGAGGCAGACGGAAUUCCGGGUGUAGCGGUGGAAUGCGUAGAGAUCCGGAGGAAGACCGGUGGCGAAGGCGGUCUGCUGGGCAGUUUCUGACACUGAUGCGCGACAGCGUGGGGAGCAAACAGGAUUAGAUACCCUGGUAGUCCACGCCGUAAACGAUGGGUACUAGGUGCCUGGGGGAGCGACCCUCUGGGUGCCGGCGCUAACGCAGGAAGUACCCCGCCUGGGGAGUACGACCGCAAGGUUGAAACUCCAAGGAAUUGACG